This 307-nucleotide ribosomal RNA is filed under the name uncultured Pseudomonas sp. Its description in RNAcentral is "bacterial SSU rRNA". It matches the Rfam family "Bacterial small subunit ribosomal RNA", at positions 1076 to 1382 of the family's 1533-position model. Lineage: Bacteria; Pseudomonadati; Pseudomonadota; Gammaproteobacteria; Pseudomonadales; Pseudomonadaceae. The record is from RNAcentral.
CGGGUUAAGUCCCGUAACGAGCGCAACCCUUGUCCUUAGUUACCAGCACGUUAUGGUGGGCACUCUAAGGAGACUGCCGGUGACAAACCGGAGGAAGGUGGGGAUGACGUCAAGUCAUCAUGGCCCUUACGGCCUGGGCUACACACGUGCUACAAUGGUCGGUACAAAGGGUUGCCAAGCCGCGAGGUGGAGCUAAUCCCAUAAAACCGAUCGUAGUCCGGAUCGCAGUCUGCAACUCGACUGCGUGAAGUCGGAAUCGCUAGUAAUCGUGAAUCAGAAUGUCACGGUGAAUACGUUCCCGGGCCUU